AACGAACGCUGGCGGCAUGCCUAACACGUGCAAGUCGAACGAGACCUUCGGGUCUAGUGGCGCACGGGUGCGUAACGCGUGGGAAUCUGCCCUUGGGUUCGGAAUAACAGUUGGAAACGACUGCUAAUACCGGAUGAUGACGUAAGUCCAAAGAUUUAUCGCCCAAGGAUGAGCCCGCGUAGGAUUAGCUAGUUGGUGAGGUAAAGGCUCACCAAGGCGACGAUCCUUAGCUGGUCUGAGAGGAUGAUCAGCCACACUGGGACUGAGACACGGCCCAGACUCCUACGGGAGGCAGCAGUGGGGAAUAUUGGACAAUGGGCGAAAGCCUGAUCCAGCAAUGCCGCGUGAGUGAUGAAGGCCUUAGGGUUGUAAAGCUCUUUUACCCGGGAUGAUAAUGACAGUACCGGGAGAAUAAGCUCCGGCUAACUCCGUG
Molecule: ribosomal RNA, 433 nt
Filed under: uncultured bacterium
Lineage: Bacteria
Description: partial 16S ribosomal RNA
Rfam family: Bacterial small subunit ribosomal RNA
Source: RNAcentral